Molecule: ribosomal RNA, 559 nt
Filed under: Providencia rettgeri
Lineage: Bacteria; Pseudomonadati; Pseudomonadota; Gammaproteobacteria; Enterobacterales; Morganellaceae
Description: partial 23S ribosomal RNA
Rfam family: Bacterial large subunit ribosomal RNA
Source: RNAcentral
GUAAUAGCUCACUGGUCGAGUCGGCCUGCGCGGAAGAUGUAACGGGGCUAAACUAUGCACCGAAGCUGCGGCAGCGAUAUGUAAAUAUUGUUGGGUAGGGGAGCGUUCUGUAAGCCUGUGAAGGUGUGCUGUGAGGCAUGCUGGAGGUAUCAGAAGUGCGAAUGCUGACAUAAGUAACGAUAAUGCGGGUGAAAAACCCGCACGCCGGAAGACCAAGGGUUCCUGUCCAACGUUAAUCGGGGCAGGGUGAGUCGACCCCUAAGGCGAGGCAGAAAUGCGUAGUCGAUGGGAAACGGGUUAAUAUUCCCGUACUGGUGAUAAUUGCGAUGGGGGGACGGAGAAGGCUAGGCUAUCCGGGCGACGGUUGUCCCGGUUUAAGGAUGUAGGCAGGUGAAUUAGGCAAAUCCGGUUCACUACAUGCUGAGGUCCGAUGACGAGUCACUACGGUGAUGAAGUAGCUCAUGCCCCGCUUCCAGGAAAAGCCUCUAAGCUCUAGAUUAUCAUUAAUCGUACCCCAAACCGACACAGGUGGUCAGGUAGAGAAUACUCAGGCGCUUGA